RNAcentral lists this ribosomal RNA (440 nucleotides) under uncultured bacterium. RNAcentral's name for it is "partial 16S ribosomal RNA". It matches the Rfam family "Bacterial small subunit ribosomal RNA", at positions 338 to 795 of the family's 1533-position model. The record is from RNAcentral.
CCUACGGGGGGCAGCAGUGGGGGAUAUUGCACAAUGGGGGGAACCCUGAUGCAGCGACGCCGCGUGGGUGAAGAAGCGCCUCGGCGCGUAAAGCUCUGUCAGCAGGGAAGAAAAUGACGGUACCUGAAGAAGAAGCCCCGGCUAACUACGUGCCAGCAGCCGCGGUAAUACGUAGGGGGCAAGCGCUAUCCGGAUUUACUGGGUGUAACGGGGGCGCAGGCGGCGAUGCAAGCCAGAAGUGAAAGCCCGGGGCUCAACCCCGGGACUGCUCUGGAAACUGGGUGGCUGGAGUGCAGGAGAGGCAAGCGGAAUUCCUUGUGUAGCGGUGAAAUGCGUAGAUAUCAGGAGGAACACCAGUGGCGAAGGCGGCCUACUGGACUGCAACUGACGUUGAGGCCCGAAAGCGUGGGGAGCAAACAGGAUUAGAUACCCGGGUAGUC